CAUCCCGAACAUAGCGGAGAGGAAACACCCGUUCCCAUCCCGAACACGGAAGUUAAGCUCUCCAGCGCCGAUGGUAGUUGGGGCCAGCGCCCCUGCAAGAGUAGGUCGUUGCUAGGC
This 117-nucleotide ribosomal RNA is filed under the name Geobacillus sp. 47C-IIb. The record is from RNAcentral. Lineage: Bacteria; Bacillati; Bacillota; Bacilli; Caryophanales; Anoxybacillaceae.